UACGUAGGUGACAAGCGUUGUCCGGAUUUACUGGGCGUAAAGAGCGCGCAGGCGGUCGUUCAAGUCGAGUGUGAAAGCCCCCGGCUCAACUGGGGAGGGUCAUUCGAUACUGAUCGACUCGAAGGCAGGAGAGGGAAGUGGAAUUCCCGGUGUAGUGGUGAAAUGCGUAGAUAUCGGGAGGAACACCGAUGGCGAAGGCAGGUCUCUGGGCAUUAACUGACGCUGAGGAGCGAAAGCAUGGGGAGCGAACAGG
This 253-nucleotide ribosomal RNA is filed under the name uncultured bacterium. Its description in RNAcentral is "partial 16S ribosomal RNA". It matches the Rfam family "Bacterial small subunit ribosomal RNA", at positions 524 to 776 of the family's 1533-position model. The record is from RNAcentral.